CCAUCUGGGGAGUAAGAUGUCCCUUCUUAUUCCUGGACCCCAGAUUCCCGCUAGCCAAGGAGACCGUUGUGGUGUAUCCAGACCAUGCUAGCGGGUUUAGGAAGAUGGUGGGGACAUCCCUGUAUCUCCAUAUGAGCCUGUAAGCUGCGAAAGGAGCAGCGGGCUCUUUCAGCUACCUGUGCAUGGAAAGGAGGGUUCCCGUUCGCUAGGCGCGCAAGUGAGAGGCAGAACGGGAGUGUGCGCCAAGGUGUGUUUGCUUGUUGUCGCCGGUGCAGUGUUUCUUGUCCCUAGCGCCAGCUUCGCGCCAUCCCAGUGAGUUUGAUUGAAAUGCGACCUCAGGAAAGUGUGGAACCGGGAAGAGGGUGCUAGGCGGGAGGGAAGAGGGACGGAACCUGGAGAAAACCGGGAAGGACCGGCCAAAAGUCACCGCAGCGGCUCUGCGAGCUGCUUGGGGACUGCUAUUUUGAAAUGCGGCGACUGCCACUCCGGGGCGCAGGAUACCAGGGUCAAGUGUCACUUCCUCUGGCGGUCAAUCUCCAAUAUUCCUUGUAAUGUUUUUAAAUGGACGAAUUCAUUACUUGGGGACGUGUGAAUGGAGAGUGUUGGAGAGCCGGCUUGAUCAAUAGCGUCUACUGAUGGUUCAUUUUUCACUGCGGAGCGAGGAUCGCGGAGCUGAAGAAAGACCUAAUCAAUAACGCGCACCACGGACUGGAAAAGGUCAUUUAGGGAAGGUGGAAAAGUUCAGGCUCCCGGUGGGCGAAGCCUAAUCGCCCCCUUGGUUUUCCCUGCGACUCCCUCUACCGUUGUCCUUCUAGCACACUGCCACCAAGAGCUGGCUGCUUAAGGUCAGGUUCAAACAUGCUAUCCGGACAAGCCCACGCCCAGUGUCCACACUACUCCUGCGAAAACACAGGUGGAUUCACCUAAAGGCCACACCUGAGCUUUUAGCAGUUUAGGGGAGAGUCAUACGAACACACACACACACACACACACACACACACACACACACACACACACACACACACACACACACACACACACACACACACACACACACACACACACACACACACACACACACACACACACACACACACACACACACACACACACACACACACACACACACACACACACACACACACACACACAGGUCUUCGUAGUGUCCUGAAUGAGUGCACAGGUGAAUCGGUGAUUGGGAAGAUUGGCCAGCCAGCCCCGCUGUUGUUAACAGAAAAGGUCAAGUAAAAUUAAAAGGGAAAAUACCUCCAAUAUCCCUUGCUGUCUUGCCAAUAGCCCC
Molecule: long non-coding RNA, 1300 nt
Filed under: Mus musculus (house mouse)
Lineage: Eukaryota; Metazoa; Chordata; Mammalia; Rodentia; Muridae
Description: long non-coding RNA chr5:28117968-28119268
Source: RNAcentral